Molecule: ribosomal RNA, 300 nt
Filed under: uncultured Borrelia sp.
Lineage: Bacteria; Pseudomonadati; Spirochaetota; Spirochaetia; Spirochaetales; Borreliaceae
Description: bacterial SSU rRNA
Rfam family: Bacterial small subunit ribosomal RNA
Source: RNAcentral
AGAGGUGAUGACGUUAGUUUAUGAUAAGCCCCGGCUAAUUACGUGCCAGCAGCCGCGGUAAUACGUAAGGGGCGAGCGUUGUUCGGGAUCAUUGGGCGUAAAGGGUGAGUAGGCGGAUAUGUAAGUCUAUGUGUAAAAUACCACAGCUCAACUGUGGAACUAUGCUAGAAACUGCAUGACUAGAGUCUGAUAGGGGAAGUUAGAAUUCCUGGUGUAAGGGUGGAAUCUGUUGAUAUCAGGAAGAAUACCAGAGGCGAAGGCGAACUUCUAGGUCAAGACUGACGCUGAGUCACGAAAGCA